This 721-nucleotide long non-coding RNA is filed under the name Junco hyemalis (dark-eyed junco). Its description in RNAcentral is "lncRNA (ENSJHYG00000011041.1)". The record is from RNAcentral. Lineage: Eukaryota; Metazoa; Chordata; Aves; Passeriformes; Passerellidae.
UGAAAACAUACAUCUUGUCUACAACAAUUACUUGACCAGCUAGCAAGCACCACAGUGCUUCAGUGUGACAACUGAAACCCAGCAAGAUCUGGAAGAAGAUGGUGCUCACAGAGGCAAGAUGAGACCAGUAAGCUGUGUGAGGAAAUGAUUUGCAACCUAAGGAGAGGGAAGCUCAAUGACUUUGCUACAGCAUCUUUCCCAGUGUAAGGAGGCCUUCUGGUGGUCAAAACAGUGAAUACUUCUUCCAGAGAGCAUUACUCAUCCAAAUGCAAUAGAAGAGCAACUCCAUGCUCCCAGCUUUAUUCACAAUUCCAUGUGAAAACCACCCUUUCAAGCGUGCAUUUCCCACUGGAGGGAGAAGAGGGGAAAGGCAACACAGAGGAGGAGCAACACACUGAAGAUGGGGCCUGCAUGUCAACAGUUGAAAAGAAAAUGCAGUUUUACUUCUGCAAAGUGUCUGAAAAUCAGCAAGAUCUCUUGGGCUGAGGUGGUGAGAGACGUGGAGUAAGUUUUACAGAAGCUUCAGAGACCUGGUGCAAUUUCUCUUUACUGGUUGAACUGCUAAGGAGACUGCCCAGAAAGCAGUGCAUACAAACUCAUUCCCUUCUUCCAGAAGGCAAUUCAACUCCCUCAGAACACCUCCAUGAACUGCUAUGUUUGAUGGCUGAUAAUUCUAAGCAUUUAUCAUUUUAGCUGUUUCACUUUGCCCGGAUUCUUUAAA